GUGGGGAAUAUUGCACAAUGGGGGAAACCCUGAUGCAGCCAUGCCGCGUGUGUGAAGAAGGCCUUCGGGUUGUAAAGCACUUUCAGCGAGGAGGAAAGGAUGCUGGCUAAUAUCCAGCAUCUGUGACGUUACUCGCAGAAGAAGCACCGGCUAACUCCAUGCCAGCAGCCGCGGUAAUACGGAGGGUGCAAGCGUUAAUCGGAAUUACUGGGCGUAAAGCGCACGCAGGCGGUUGGAUAAGUUAGAUGUGAAAGCCCCGGGCUCAACCUGGGAAUUGCAUUUAAAACUGUCCAGCUAGAGUCUUGUAGAGGGGGGUAGAAUUCCAGGUGUAGCGGUGAAAUGCGUAGAGAUCUGGAGGAAUACCGGUGGCGAAGGCGGCCCCCUGGACAAAGACUGACGCUCAGGUGCGAAAGCGUGGGGAGCAAACAGGAUUAGAAACCCGGGUAGUCC
This 450-nucleotide ribosomal RNA is filed under the name uncultured bacterium. Its description in RNAcentral is "partial 16S ribosomal RNA". It matches the Rfam family "Bacterial small subunit ribosomal RNA", at positions 354 to 796 of the family's 1533-position model. The record is from RNAcentral.